Molecule: long non-coding RNA, 2113 nt
Organism: Lagopus muta (rock ptarmigan)
Lineage: Eukaryota; Metazoa; Chordata; Aves; Galliformes; Phasianidae
Exons: 3
Source: RefSeq, a predicted model, not a curated record
CCGGGCUCCUCGCGGUGGCGCCGGGGGGAUGCCCUCCUCUCCGGGUUCCCCGCCGCUCGCGAUCGGGGGGGUCACGGCUCGGUGCGCGGCGCCCCGGCUGUGCGCUGCGGCAUCAGGGGCACUGGGGAAACGCCCGCGGAGCGGCGUCUGCUCUGCCCGUGUAAAUGAAUGCGGUACGCAAUGUGAAAUGCUGUUCGCCUUGUCGGUCUGCUGCUAUGGCAAGGUACCGGCGGUAUGUGCCGCCGAGGUGGUGGUGGGGUAAGGGGCUGGAAGUAAGCAACGCUUUGCGGCUUCUCACAGAAAAGACGUGGAAGUGCUGGAGCGCGUCCACAGAAGGGCGGCAAAACGGAAGGGUCUGGAGCACAAGUCUUACGGCAGCGGCUGAGGGAGCUGUGAUCGUUCAGUGUGGAGAAGGGGGAGGUUCAGGGGAGACCUCGUUGCUCUCUGCAACUGCCCGAAGGCAGGUUGUGAUGGGCUGGGGACGGCCUCUUCUCCCAGGUAACGGCGAUGGGAUGAGAGGUGAGGGCUGCGUGCUGAGAGCAGUGCUUGGCUGGGAACUGGGCAGCGAACGCUGACAGGAGGCGGUAGGGAUGCAGCCGGGGCUGAGGGACCAUGAGAAAGAGGGGGCUUCGUGCCAGAGGGGAUAGAUAGGCUUCGUGUGCCCAGAUCCCUGAGGCCCUGCCAUCCUGGUGAACAUGUCCUGGAGCAGCAUUUCAGGCUGCUGGGUUGAAAGUGGGAGGAGCAGCCCCCAGAAAGGAGAGACCAAACUGUUCUUUGGCUCCUGCCCCCCGUGGGAGCUCUGUUCCCCACACAUCCCUGGCAUCCAUGGAAGUAAAGCUGCUCGUUUUGCUGCAACCCCUCCCGUGUGUGUCUGACUGCUCUUUCCUUCCCCACUCCUUUCCUGCUCUGCAGGCUAAGACUGUCUACAACCACCUCUCCCAAAAAUAAUCCCUGCUUAAGAGGCUGGAAAACAUGACAGUUUAUCUUCAUAUGCAGAGCAGAACUUAUUUGUAAUUAGCUUUAAGGCUGUCGUUUAUUUUACCAGCCUGAUUUCCACACCAGGCGGAUCGUGCGUGGCUAGCAGCGCUGCAUUCCUGCCCAUCCUACACAACCCAUCAUCACAUGGAUGCAUUCAGCACAGAGUUGCUCAUGGCCCCAUCUUCUCUCCAGAGUGUUUUGUCUGCCCCCGAGUCCAUGCAGCCACCAUCCUGCCUCGCCUGCAGGUCACUGCGUGGAAAGCUCCAGAGAGUGUUGGCAAUGCUGUUGUUGACGUGGCUGCCAUGGGGGUGGGGAGACUCAGACACCCCUAAUAAAGCCUGAGGCAAGUGAGAGGCACUUCUUUUUGGCAAAUGAGCAGUUUUCGGUUUAAAAAUGCUUUUCUCUUGGCAGCCAGUGGAAGCAUCUGAGCUACGGCUGUCAGAUCAAAUGUGUGCUUUCCCUUUGACCUCCCAAGGAGCAUAGGGAUGUGGUUUUAUGCCAUCUAGGAGCAAUCUGAUGUGUUUGCUUUUCAUUCUGAAGGUGUUUAGGAGUUUGACAUUUAGCCCUUGUGGGUUAUUUAUUUAUGCCUUUUACGCUAUAUCUUAUGUUUCCUAGAAAACCACUUGCCCAGCCUGCAUGUCGUAUAUUUUUGAUGUGGAAAGAUGUGGGAUUGGGGUGAUAAAUGAGGAAAGAGAAUUGGCAACAAGACUGGAAAAUCACUGGCCAACUAGGAUAAAUUCCAGAGGCAAACAGAUGGUGGUGUGAACAGAGCAUUUUGUUUGACAUACUAAUGUGGUAUGAAUCUCAGCAGGGACUUUCCUCCUCCUCAGAAAGAAUAUCCUGAGUUGGAAAGAACCCAGAGGAGUCAUCGAGUCCAACUCCCAGCUCUUCACAGGCCCACCCCAAAUCACAGAAUCACAGAAUUGUAGGGGUUGGAAGGGACCUCCAGAGAUCAUCGAGUCCAACCCCCCUGCCAAAGCAGGUUCCCUACAGCAGGUCGCACAGGUAGGCAUCCAGGCAGGUCUUGAACAUCUCCAGAGAAGGAGACUCCACCACCUCCCUGGGCAGCCUGUUCCAGUGCUCCGUCACCUCACUGUAAAGAAGUUCUUGUGCAUGUUUGUGCAGAACUUCCUAU